GGCCUCCCUCUGCAGGGUAAUUGAUCACAGAGCCCCCCGAUUGAUUGCCCUGCAGAGGGUGGCC
RNAcentral lists this microRNA precursor (64 nucleotides) under Myotis lucifugus (little brown bat). RNAcentral describes it as "mir-9242 microRNA precursor family". It matches the Rfam family "mir-9242 microRNA precursor family". Lineage: Eukaryota; Metazoa; Chordata; Mammalia; Chiroptera; Vespertilionidae. The record is from Rfam by way of RNAcentral.